GAUGAACGCUGGCGGCGUGCUUAACAUAUGCAAGUCGAGCGAAGCGAUUUUAAGGAAGCCUUCGGGUGGAAUUAAAAUUGACUUAGCGGCGGACGGGUGAGUAACGCGUGGGUAAACUGCCUCAUACAGGGGCAUACCAGCUAGAAAUGACUGCUAAUACCGCAUAAGCGCACAGUGCUGCUUAGCACAGUGUGAAUAACCCCGGUGGGAUGGGAUGGACCAGCGCCGGGUUAGGUAGUUGGUGAGGUCACGGCCCCCCAAGCCGACGAUCAGUAGCCGACCUGAGAGGGUGACCGGCAACAUUGGGGCUGAGACACGGCCCAAACUCCUACGGGAGGCAGCGGUGGGGAAUAUUGGACAAUGGGGAAACCCUGAUCUAGCGACGCCGCGUGACUGAAGAAGUAUUUCGGUAUGUAAAGGUCUAUCAGGAGGGAAGAAAAUGACGGUACCUGACUAAGAAGCCCCGGCUAACUACGUGCCAGCCGCCGCCGUAA
RNAcentral lists this ribosomal RNA (494 nucleotides) under uncultured bacterium. RNAcentral's name for it is "partial 16S ribosomal RNA". It matches the Rfam family "Bacterial small subunit ribosomal RNA", at positions 28 to 523 of the family's 1533-position model. The record is from RNAcentral.